Molecule: ribosomal RNA, 645 nt
Filed under: uncultured bacterium
Lineage: Bacteria
Description: bacterial SSU rRNA
Rfam family: Bacterial small subunit ribosomal RNA
Source: RNAcentral
GUAACACGUAUGCAACCUACCCUUUACUGGGGCAUAGCUCAGAGAAAUCUGAAUUAAUUCCCCAUAAUACAAUUGAAUGGCAUCAUUUAAUUAUUAAAGCUGAGGCGGUAAAGGAUGGGCAUGCGUUGCAUUAGCUAGUUGGUGAGGUAAUGGCUCACCAAGGCUACGAUGCAUAGGGGUUCUGAGAGGAUGAUCCCCCACACUGGUACUGAGACACGGACCAGACUCCUACGGGAGGCAGCAGUAGGGAAUAUUGGUCAAUGGACGCAAGUCUGAACCAGCCAUGCCGCGUGCAGGAAGACGGCCCUCUGGGUUGUAAACUGCUUUUAUAUGGGAAGAAACCUCAUUAUGCGUAAUGAACUGACGGUACCAUAUGAAUAAGGAUCGGCUAACUUCGUGCCAGCAGCCGCGGUAAGACGAAGGAUCCAAGCGUUGUCCGGAUUUACUGGGGUUAAAGGGUGCGUAGGCGGAAUUUUAAGUCAGUGGUGAAAGCCCUUCGCUCAACGAAGGAACUGCCAUUGAAACUGAAAUUCGUGAAUACGGUUGAGGUAGAUGGAAUAUAACAUGUAGCGGUGAAAUGCUUAGAUAUGUUAUAGAACACCGAUUGCGAAGGCAGUCUACUAAGCCGUGAUUGACGCUGAGGCA